Molecule: ribosomal RNA, 301 nt
Filed under: uncultured bacterium
Lineage: Bacteria
Description: partial 16S ribosomal RNA
Rfam family: Bacterial small subunit ribosomal RNA
Source: RNAcentral
CAGUCGCCGCGGGAAUACGUAGGGUGCGAGCGUUAAUCGGAAUUACUGGGCGCAAAGCGUGCGCAGGCGGUUGUGCAAGACAGAUGUGAAAUCCCCGAGCUUAACUUGGGAACUGCAUUUGUGACUGCACGGCUAGAGUGUGUCAGAGGGGGGUAGAAUUCCACGUGUAGCAGUGAAAUGCGUAGAUAUGUGGAGGAAUACCGAUGGCGAAGGCAGCCCCCUGGGAUAACACUGACGCUCAUGCACGAAAGCGUGGGGAGCAAACAGGAUUAGAUACCCGCGUAUUCCCUGUCUCUUAUAC